Molecule: long non-coding RNA, 1730 nt
Filed under: Parus major (Great Tit)
Lineage: Eukaryota; Metazoa; Chordata; Aves; Passeriformes; Paridae
Description: lncRNA (ENSPMJG00000009935.1)
Source: RNAcentral
CAGUGAGGAAAGCUCUGCUGAAGGGUGAUACAGAGUGCAGGGAGGCUGCAGGAGGGAGAGGAGGGUGGGGACAGCUCUGCCAGCAGAACCUGCGCUCCACACACAUCUCUCACUGUGGCAAACAGACAGCCAGACAGAUGUUUGCCAAAUGUGCCCUUCUUGGCAACAAACCCACAAACUGUGGGGGAUUUUGAUGCUUUUACAGCUGGGGUUUGGUCCAGAUUAGAACAAAAUCUUGAAAAUGCACCCAACUUGGAAACGCCAAGGAAUUCCUCUGCAGAAACGUUUUGCUGGGAAAUGGUAAAUGGUUUGGUAGAGUCAAAAUGAAGUAUUAUAAUUCCACGUUCUAUGUACAAGUCAAAAUGAAUAAUUUACCUCCUUUAACUAUUUUUAAACACCUGAAACAUCUGAAAAGGCUUUUUUUUGUUUGUUUUUUGACACGUCUGUCAAAUCUCAUCAGACACAGCGUGUUUGUGAAUGGGGAGAUGUUCCCAGCAGCUGCAGCUGCCUGUGGCAGCAGGAGAGCCCUGACCAGGAUGGCUGUGGGGGACAGAACUGGGAAAAGAAAGGCCAUCUGUCUGUCCAUCCAUCCAUGGAUCCAUGGAUCCAUUCAUCCAUCAUCCAUCAUCCAUCCAUCAUCCAUCCAUCAUCCAUCAUCCAUCCAUCCAUCCAUCAUCCAUCAUCCAUCAUCCAUCCAUCAUCCAUCAUCCAUCCAUCCAUCAUCCAUCCAUCCAUCCAUCAAUCACCCACCCUUGCACCCAGCCCAUGCAGGGCUCUGCUUUGGCCAAGCAGCAUUUCCCCACCCCAUCACCAAGUGACAUAAUUGAGAGGGUGGUUUUAUUUAUUUUCCCUAUUCAGGGAACAGUUCUGGUACCUUCUGCUUGUGUUAGUUUUUGGGGAAGGGGGCUGAAAUGAAGCCCGGAGGGGACUGAGGGGGUUUGCAGCAGGAGAACACAGCUGAUUCACUCUCUGGUAUAAGCAGGAGUUGGUCUGACAUGGCACUGUUUAUUUUGAGCAGGUUCUAGGAACAGUUUGCAGCUCUUUCCCCAUCUCUUGAUGUGCCCACACAGUAAAUUAUCUGCAAUCAUUAGCAAGUGGGCUGCUUCCUCCUUCAGACACAAUUAGUGGGCAGGGGCCGGAAAAACCUUCCUCAAUCUCAUUUCCUUCUCAGGAUGCUCUUGAGAGCCCGGCGCUGCCUCGGAGGAGGCAGGGCACAGCCGCUGCCCAGAGUGACCCUCCCUGCUCCUCGGGGUGGGAGCAUCCUCCGUCCGUCCGUCCCCCGAUGGUCCCCGGGGGCUGCCCGGGCGGGGAAGGUGGAACCUUGGAACCUCAGCCUCCGGGUCAGGGAGGCUGAAGCAGAGGCAGGAACCGGCAGAGGCUCAGGACAAGCUGAUUUCCAGUUCCCUUUGCCUGUGAGGUCCAUCCUGGGGCGGUGCACAGGCACGGGUGACUCAGGGGCUGGGGAAUGGUGUGAGCAGUGAGCAGCAGCUCCUGUCCAGGGCACCUGGCUCAGGGUUCCUGGAGCACCAGCAGCUGCCGGGCACUGGUGCCAAAGCCUUGGUGGCUCUGCCACAGCUGCCCCCGGUCCCGAGCACUGCUGGCCGUGCCAUCGCCUCCUCCUGCCCCACACCGCCAGCUGGGAACCGGCCCUGGGGGAGCAGCAGCGCUCGAGGGGGAGCUUUGGAUUUACACUCGGGAAACCUGGAAUAAAUCAAAGCAAUUAAAGUGCA